This 234-nucleotide ribosomal RNA is filed under the name uncultured bacterium. RNAcentral's name for it is "partial 16S ribosomal RNA". It matches the Rfam family "Bacterial small subunit ribosomal RNA", at positions 1268 to 1501 of the family's 1533-position model. The record is from RNAcentral.
CCAAUCGGAGAAAGCCGGCCUCAGUUCGGAUUGCAGUCUGCAACUCGACUGCAUGAAGCUGGAAUCGCUAGUAAUCGCGGAUCAGCAUGCCGCGGUGAAUACGUUCCCGGGCCUUGUACACACCGCCCGUCACAUCACGAAAGUGGGUUGUACUAGAAGCAGGUGAGCUAACCGCAAGGAAGCAGCCUUCCAAGGUGUGAUUCAUGAUUGGGGUGAAGUCGUAACAAGGUAGCC